This is a non-coding RNA of Sphaerodactylus townsendi, 72 nucleotides long. The record is from the annotation of a RefSeq genome assembly. NCBI's taxonomy places the organism in Eukaryota, Metazoa, Chordata, Lepidosauria, Squamata, Sphaerodactylidae.
GAGGCUGCAGCUCAGUGGUAGAGUAUCUGCUUGGAAUGCAGAAGGCUCCAGGUUCAAUUCCUGGCAGCAUCA